This 279-nucleotide long non-coding RNA is filed under the name Elaeis guineensis (African oil palm). RNAcentral's name for it is "long non-coding RNA (EGUI_LNC055435)". The record is from RNAcentral. Lineage: Eukaryota; Viridiplantae; Streptophyta; Magnoliopsida; Arecales; Arecaceae.
CCAUACUAAAGAACGAGAGUUGUUUAGCAUUCUUUUCAGAAAAAAGUACCUUGAUGAAGGUACUGAUGCCUUUAAUAUAGAACUUAUGAAGUUUGACAGGUAGAAAAACUGACACAAUCUGGUGAACCCAAAGAAUCAGAUUUGAUUAGAUCAAACCUGAAAUCCAUUGUAAAGGCACCAUUAAAGAGAUCCAGUAGAGUAUCGUGUCUGUUGGAUAGAUACUUCAGUAUCUAGAUCGAAAACGUGAUUAUGUUGAACUCGAUGAGAACAAUAAGGAUC